GAUAGUGUACACACGUAAGAAGGAAAAUCAUAACAAGAGUGUUAACAAUUAAUCAAUCAACCUCAAUUAUGUAAUAGUUGCAAUCAAGGCAUCUUACAAGGAAAGUCUGGAGUUACUGAUUAGCAUGAUUGUUGCUUAAUUAUUACAUUUAGACCUUGUUAUAAAGUAUAAAUAGAGACCUUCUCCUAGGAGGGAAGACAUCCAAUUAGUUUGAAAAUAAUAGCUCUAGGAGCUGGGAAAGAUAGUUUCUUGCAGGAGAGAACCUUAUGGUCCCUUGUUUUUCUGUUCUCUUCCUCUUUUUGAAUUUUGAAAUUCCAGAUUCUCUGUUUCUCUCCUCACUUUUCUGUUCUCGGCCCUUUACUCUAACAAAUUUCUUUUCAAAGUAGUCAGUCUAAAAUUAAAAUCACAGAAGAAUGAAUGAAUGUUUUUCAUUUCGGCAAUGGUAUGGUGUUGAACCCCGAAAGAAAAAAGAAACCAUAACAAAAAUCUCAAAUUAAAGACAAAACCAAUCUCCAUAGAUGUUUGACGUUCUGACAGAAAAACCAUAGUGUCUCCAUAUAGAAUCCAUAGGACCAACUUCAAGUGUGAGCAGCUAGAAAGAAUGUUAGAUUAGAGAUAAACAAUAUGUUAAGUGUGAGAAGGUAAAACUAUUGUAUUGUAUAUUUCAUUAUCUAGUGACUGUAUUGUAAUAUAUCUUAAGAAUAUGCUAUUUUCCAAAUAUUAUCAGGAGAAAAUAGACAAAUAUGAGGUGUAAUGCCAUUCUUUAUAACAUUUUUCGGAAGACUAAGUUCCCAGCUCGUAUAAUCAUAUGCCUCUAAUAUAUAUUAUGCAAGCAGUUAUCCUGCCUUACUAGCACAUAGUUUCUCAUUUUUUUAUGCAUAUUUUUCUCCCAAGAAAUUUAAGAUGCUUGUUUCUUCUUCUUCUUUUAAAAUUUAUCCCAUGUUUUCCUCUUAAUUUAUUCACCUGUAAUAUUAUCUAGUGACUGUUCUGCAUUAUGAUAUGCAUAUCUCAAAUGCAAUAGGUCACUAAAUACUGUAAUGAUUUUUGCUUCACUUCAUUCAGUUCAUUGAUGGAUCUAAUUUGCAAAUCCAUGGCAUAAUUUGGUUUUUGAAGGUUCUGGUUUUGUAUGAUUAUUCAUACCAACAAACAUGGACAAUGAAGACUUCUUAUCUGAGUAAGAUACUAGUGUUUUUCAAAUGGUAUUUCUCCUUGCCUUGCAUGCUUAAACCAAUUAAUUUUAUUUUGAAUUCUUGAACAGUGAUUGGAUUAGAUCAUGCCUAGACCACUGUGAUUCUAUACCAACUUCCCAGUUUUGGAACAGCCAAUGGGCCUCUGUUACAGUUCGUGUUAUAAAGAACUACAACAAUAUUGAUUGGGAAACAUUCUUGUCAACUUUUUUCAACAGAUACUUGAAUAUGUUUGAGGUAGGUGCAUGCCAUACAAAGAUACUUUAAACUCCAAGUGGCAGGUGUUGUGUUGAUCAAAUUAUUUUCCACAUCUGAAUAGAGGUGAAAUUGUUUGUAUUAUUCUCAUGUUUUACAUGGAUAUGAUGCUUCUCACUGGUGUCACUACUUAGAAGUACUCAAAUAUGUUCUUAUGUUAGAAGGAUAUGCUUAUCUUCUUUACUAAAUCAUGGCAUUACUUGUAUUAUUUUUUAGGGCUUUUCUGUAUGCCAUAUAUAUAGGGUAGUUUAAAUGAUUGGUUUUGCUUUCAUUAUAACCAUAGUAGAAAACCCAGAAGGAUCCCUUUUCUGCAGCUUGGUUACCCAUGGCAACUAAGAAACAAAAAAUUAGUAAGUGGUAGUUUUUCCUUAAUUCUGACAAUUACAGGAAGCAAUAAUUAUUCUGUGGCAUUGAAACAUUCUAAAAUAGUGGACUUCUACAAUUUGAUAUUAUCUCUUUUUUAUUUUCACUCUUUGAUCAGAAGUCAUGCACUUCUAUGAUUAGGCAUAGCAGGCUAUAUAUCAUGGCCUUCUUCUUUCCCCUAUUCUUGGGAUAGUUUAAGCAUCCAACACCAUUGUUAGAAGGCCUGGAUAACUUUUUAUUUAUCACAUAAUGCAUAUUAUGUAAAUUAUGUUCAAUUGACAGGUUCUUGUGGCAAAUGGGGGUGGGUCUAAUCCAUUUUCCGUGGAUGUUCCCAGAAACACUAGAUUCUUGUUCUCAAAUAGAACAAUCACUCCAUCAAAGGCCAUAGCUAAUUCACUUGUAAGGUUUUCUCAGAAAGUCCUAGGUGGAUUCCUUGGGUUAUAUUGUAUUUUGGCUCUGUUAAAAUGUGUUUAUUCUUUAUCUUAUAUAACUAGUUGGAUGGUUGAUACCUAAUCUGCAAUUCUUUUCCCUGUCCUUGUAUCAUUUUUCCCCAAUUAAAAAUACCACAUGACAAGUGGUUAUUGAUUAAAAAGGAGUCUUCAACUUUGUUCUGUUUGUUUUCAUUAUUCUUUUUAUAUUUAUCUUUCUAAUUAUGAAUUCGUUACUUUCAUAUAGUGAAGUGACAAGUGAGGAUUAUGAUGAUCAAGAACAUUCAUGUCAAUUUGAUGACUUUUUUUGUUGAAGAACCUUUGGCUAGCAGAAUAAGGAAGUAGAAGGUAAACGUGCCAAGAAAGGAAAACAGGAUCAAGAAACGGCCCAAGAAGCUGAAGCAAGUAAGGCAGCUUGAGUUAUUACUUGCAGAUGAAAAUGGAGUAUAUGCCAACUUGAAGGGCUAUAAUUUAAAGCGAAGAAAGUCAAAGGAUAAAAAGGGCAAAGUAAUUAUUGACGAGGAUAAGAUACCAAGUGUAGUCUAUAAUGAUCCUUGGUUCUCCAGUUUAUUCACUUCACCACUCUUUGCUUUGGAUCCCACAUAUCCCCAGUUCAAGAUGCAUGGUUUUAUCAUCCCUUAAACUAAUGACUAUCGAAACAUUUUACGUGUUCUUUUUGGCUGGCAUUGUAUCCUCGCAUCUUUACAUUAUUCUUGUGUUAAUGUUACAGGAGUGCAGUUUAUUUACGCUAGCUGAAAAGGAACGCAAGGUCGACCAAGAAAAUGUUUGAGAAGCAUUAGAUUGUUCGUAGCUGAAAAGGAACGCAAGGUCGACCAAGAAAAUGUUUGAGAAGCUUUAGAUUGUUCAUAAGAUGAGAAUGUGAUGAGUGUUUAUGAUUAAGUAUGCCUAAUUGAGUAUUAGGUUGCAAGCAUCUAGAAGUUACGCCAAAGUAUGUUGAGUGUUUAAACUUGCUUGAGCAAAGAAUGUGGAACCUUGUUUUCCAAAGUAUAUACUGUACUUACUUUACAGGUUAA
Ipomoea nil (Japanese morning glory) is the source of this 3267-nucleotide long non-coding RNA. RefSeq lists it as uncharacterized. NCBI's taxonomy places the organism in Eukaryota, Viridiplantae, Streptophyta, Magnoliopsida, Solanales, Convolvulaceae. The transcript is spliced from 2 exons. The record is from RefSeq and is a predicted model, not a curated record.